AUUGAACGCUGGCGGCAGGCUUAACACAUGCAAGUCGAGCGGGGUGAUGGUGCUUGCACUAUCACUUAGCGGCGGACGGGUGAGUAAUGCUUAGGAAUCUGCCUAUUAGUGGGGGACAACAUCUCGAAAGGGAUGCUAAUACCGCAUACGUCCUACGGGAGAAAGCAGGGGAUCACUUGUGACCUUGCGCUAAUAGAUGAGCCUACGUCGGAUUAGCUAGUUGGUGGGGUAAAGGCCUACCAAGGCGACGAUCUGUAGCGGGUCUGAGAGGAUGAGCCGCAACACUGGGACUGAGACACGGCCCAGACUCCUACGGGAGGCAGCAGUGGGGAAUAUUGGACAAUGGGGGGAACCCUGAUCCAGCCAUGCCGCGUGUGUGAAGAAGGCCUUAUGGUUGUAAAGCACUUUAAGCGAGGAGGAGGCUCUUUUGGUUAAUACCCAAGAUGAGUGGACGUUACUCGCAGAAUAAGCACCGGCUAACUCUGUGCCAGCAGCCGCCGUAA
RNAcentral lists this ribosomal RNA (503 nucleotides) under uncultured bacterium. Its description in RNAcentral is "partial 16S ribosomal RNA". It matches the Rfam family "Bacterial small subunit ribosomal RNA", at positions 30 to 523 of the family's 1533-position model. The record is from RNAcentral.